This 662-nucleotide ribosomal RNA is filed under the name uncultured cyanobacterium. RNAcentral's name for it is "bacterial SSU rRNA". It matches the Rfam family "Bacterial small subunit ribosomal RNA", at positions 99 to 795 of the family's 1533-position model. Lineage: Bacteria; Bacillati; Cyanobacteriota. The record is from RNAcentral.
CGGACGGGUGAGUAACGCGUGAGAAUCUGCCCUCAGGAGGGGGAUAACGGCUGGAAACGGCCGCUAAUACCCCAUAUGCCGAGAGGUGAAAUGAAUUUCGCCUGAGGAUGAGCUCGCGUCUGAUUAGCUAGUUGGUGGGGUAAAGGCCUACCAAGGCUUCGAUCAGUAGCUGGUCUGAGAGGAUGAUCAGCCACACUGGGACUGAGACACGGCCCAGACUCCUACGGGAGGCAGCAGUGGGGAAUUUUCCGCAAUGGGCGAAAGCCUGACGGAGCAACGCCGCGUGAGGGAUGAAGGCCUCUGGGCUGUAAACCUCUUUUCUCAAGGAAGAAGAACUGACGGUACUUGAGGAAUAAGCCACGGCUAAUUCCGUGCCAGCAGCCGCGGUAAUACGGGAGUGGCAAGCGUUAUCCGGAAUUAUUGGGCGUAAAGCGUCCGCAGGCGGCCUCGUAAGUCUGUCGUUAAAGCGUGGAGCUUAACUCCAUUUCAGCGAUGGAAACUGCGAGGCUUGAGUGUGGUAGGGGCAGAGGGAAUUCCCGGUGUAGCGGUGAAAUGCGUAGAUAUCGGGAAGAACACCAGUGGCGAAGGCGCUCUGCUGGGCCAUAACUGACGCUCAUGGACGAAAGCCAGGGGAGCGAAUGGGAUUAGAUACCCCAGUAGUC